RNAcentral lists this ribosomal RNA (393 nucleotides) under Metacrangonyx longipes. RNAcentral describes it as "partial 16S ribosomal RNA". Lineage: Eukaryota; Metazoa; Arthropoda; Malacostraca; Amphipoda; Metacrangonyctidae. The record is from RNAcentral.
UAGCAUAAUAAAUUGUUUUUUAAUUGAAAACUGGAAUGAAAGGUAGAACUAUUUAUAAAUUUGUUUUUUUUUUAAUUUAUGAAUUUUUACUAUAAGUAAAAAUACUUAUAUACAAUAAAGGGACGAUAAGACCCUAGAAGCUUAAGUUUGUAAGGGUGUAUAAUAGUUAUUUUUAAAGUUUAUACUCUAUAAAAUUUUAAUUGGGGAAAUAAAAAUUUUAUCAAUAAUUUUUUUUUAAGAAAAAUAAUUAUUUAAGGAUCUUUUAAAUAAAAAUAAAUGGAAAAGUUACUCUAGGGAUAACAGCGUAAUAAUUUUGGAUAGACCUUAUAUAUAAAAUUGAUUACGACCUCGAUGUUGAAUUAAAAUAUCUUUAUAAAGUAGAAGUUAUAGAAG